CUUAUAUCACUGCCCGGAAACGACCACUGUGAGGCGAACAGAAGUACCCGAAGGAAGACGGGGGCACUAAAAAUUGACACGGGGCGGAAAAUAUUUGGCCGACCAUAAUCCGCAAAAAAUUUUGCGGAAAACGGACGGGAGGAGCAGUUUCGGUCGCAAUUCUACGACGAAAAUGAUAUCGCGUGAGGUUGAACGUUAGCGAGCGCAGCCAGCGGAAAUUGGGGUUUGUUUAACGGAUCGAAAGCGAUGGAGAGGCCUGCGAGAGUGUUUUUCCACGGGAUGGGGAAAAAUGACCUGCUAACCUGAAAUCGGAUACCGCCUUUGUGCACAUCUACGCUUUCGGCGCCCUUUUUAGCAUUAUUAUUUUCACGCUUUGCUCUUCGAGAGGACUUACUCCGUUCACGAGCAGAGGGAUGUGAUUGAGAAAGGGAAUUCGGCUCUCCCCCUCUCCCUCAUCCCCUUCACAGUCAACACAAAUAUCGCGGAUCAGCGCUUUUCUUUCAACCUGCAGAGGCUUUGGACUGACAGGGUGCCCACAGAAGAGAGAAGAACUACUUGGUCAUACCACUGUGCUGUGUUUGUGGUCUCUCCAGCUGAGGUGUUAAAGACAAAGGUUGAAUAGACUCUGUGGACUAUCUAACCUGUCACCUUUUAACUCCCGACUUGAACGAUUGAAAUUUGCUCACCACAAUUUUCUCUUUAAAUGAGGACAUUUCUGAGAAGUCACAAAGUGGAACCAUUUUAUUCAGAACUUGUCAAAGGAAUACACAAAUAGCAAGGCAGGCAGACAUUCUCUCAUCGCUUCUGUUUUAAAUGGCUUUCAACACUAAAGGAUUUGCUUUUUAGUGAUAAACACAUUUUGUAAAAACAUAUUUCAUAUGGUAGUAUUAGACAUGUUUUUACUGUUUUAAUUGUAGAUAUAGUCAUUUGGAAGACCAACGCAGACCUGUGUUUAUUGCAUGAUAUUGUAAACCAACUUUUUUUCUUAUUUAUAGAUUAUUAUUUAA
Molecule: long non-coding RNA, 1007 nt
Organism: Rhinichthys klamathensis goyatoka
Lineage: Eukaryota; Metazoa; Chordata; Actinopteri; Cypriniformes; Leuciscidae
Exons: 3
Source: RefSeq, a predicted model, not a curated record